AGGGUUUGAUCCUGGCUCAGGAUGAACGCUAGCGGCAAGCCUAACACAUGCAAGUCGAACGGUAACUUUUGGUGCUUGCACCGAAAGACGAGUGGCGAACGGGUGCGUAACGCGUAUGCAAUCUGCCUUUUACUAGGGUAUAGCCCAGAGAAAUUUGGAUUAAUCCCCUAUAAUAUCAUUUAAUCGCAUGAUUUUAUGAUUAAAGCUUCGGCGGUAAAAGAUGAGCAUGCGUCCUAUUAGUUAGUAGGUGAGGUAACGGCUCACCUAGACUCCGAUAGGUAGGGGUCCUGAGAGGGAGAUCCCCCACACUGGUACUGAGACACGGACCAGACUCCUACGGGAGGCAGCAGUGAGGAAUAUUGGACAAUGGACGAAAGUCUGAUCCAGCUAUGCCGCGUGCAGGAUGACGGCCCUAUGGGUUGUAAACUGCUUUUAUACAGGAAGAAAAACUCCGACGUGUCGGAACUUGACGGUACUGUAAGAAUAAGGAUCGGCUAACUCCGUGCCAGCAGCCGCGGUAAUACGGAGGAUCCAAGCGUUAUCCGGAAUCAUUGGGUUUAAAGGGUCCGUAGGCGGUUUUUUAAGUCAGAGGUGAAAUCCUGCAGCUCAACUGUAGAAUUGCCUUUGAUACUGAAAGACUUGAGUUAUUGUGAAGUGGUUAGAAUGUGUGGUGUAGCGGUGAAAUGCAU
This 689-nucleotide ribosomal RNA is filed under the name uncultured marine microorganism. RNAcentral describes it as "bacterial SSU rRNA". It matches the Rfam family "Bacterial small subunit ribosomal RNA", at positions 8 to 691 of the family's 1533-position model. The record is from RNAcentral.